This 484-nucleotide ribosomal RNA is filed under the name uncultured bacterium. RNAcentral's name for it is "partial 16S ribosomal RNA". It matches the Rfam family "Bacterial small subunit ribosomal RNA", at positions 30 to 507 of the family's 1533-position model. The record is from RNAcentral.
AUUGAACGCUGGCGGCAGGCCUAACACAUGCAAGUCGAACGGACGAAGUGUACGUGCUCUUGCUUUCAGCUGCAGAGUGGUGUGCGAUGGCGAGAAAAAUGCGUGGUUACCUUGGCUGGGGGCGGGAAAUAGGCACUAAUACCGCAAACUUCCACAGGAACAAAGUGGGGAAUCCUGGGACCUUACGCUAUCGGUUGAUUCUAGGUCCGAUUAGCUAGUUGGGGGGUUAAAGGCCUACCAAGGCGACGAUCCGCAACUGGUCUGAGAGGAUGAUCAGCCAAACGGGAACUGAGACACGGUCCAGACUCCUACGGGAGGCAGCAUUGGGGAAUAUUGGACAAGGGGCGAAAGCCUGAUCCAGCCAUGCCGCGGGGGUGAAGAAGGUCUUCGGAUUGUAAAGCCCGUUGGGUGGGAAGGAAGGGCAGUAGGUUAAUACCUUGCUGUUUUGACGUUACCAAAAGAAUAAGCACCGGCUAACUUCGUG